This 325-nucleotide ribosomal RNA is filed under the name uncultured eukaryote. RNAcentral's name for it is "partial 18S ribosomal RNA". It matches the Rfam family "Eukaryotic small subunit ribosomal RNA", at positions 1470 to 1796 of the family's 1831-position model. The record is from RNAcentral.
CCCUUAGAUGUUCUGGGCUGCACACGCGCUACACUGAAGGGAUCAGCGUGUUCUUUUCCUGGUCCGAAAGGAUCGGGUAACCCGCUGAACCCCCUUCGUGGUAGGGAUCGGAGCUUGCAAUUAUUCUCCGUGAACCAGGAAUUCCCAGUAAGCGCAAGUCAUAAGCUUGCGUUGAUUACGUCCCUGCCCUUUGUACACACCGCCCGUCGCACCUACCGAUUGAAUGGUCCGGUGAAAUCUCCGGACUGGCGUGAGUCGGAGCAAUCUGACAAACACCGGAAAGUUGAUUAAACCUUACCAUUUAGAGGAAGGUGAANUCGUAACA